Limulus polyphemus (Atlantic horseshoe crab) is the source of this 921-nucleotide long non-coding RNA. RefSeq lists it as uncharacterized. Lineage: Eukaryota; Metazoa; Arthropoda; Merostomata; Xiphosura; Limulidae. The record is from RefSeq and is a predicted model, not a curated record. The transcript is spliced from 3 exons.
UACCAGUGCUAUAACUACUAACAAAACCUGGUGGUAACUCUACGGAUUUACAACGCUGAAAUCAGGGGUUCGAAAGCCCUCGGUGGACACAGUAGACAGCCCACUGUGGCUUUGGUACAAAGAACACAGGCACAUACAGACUUCUAUACUCAAAGUUAGACGUCACGUGACAAAGUGCACAGUUUUAGCGUUUUGUUGAUCAGACAUUGACAUACUCUGUUGGUACUGUCUUCAGUUCAGAGAUGAAUUUCUCCCACCUGCAGUAUUGAGCCCUUAAUCUACACGAAUAUUGCUUCUGUAUGCAUGGCCAUAUACAGAAGCAAGUUUAUACCAUGGAUACAAACAAUGCAACUAACAACUAUAAUCAGGUGUUUCUAUAAUGGGUGUACUUUAUGUUACGAUCCUGACACAAUGAACGUUAUUCUAAGUAGACCAAUGUUGCCUGUUAGAAAAUGUACACUAGACAGGCAACAUAAACUAGAAGCUCAGAGAUAUAAGGAUGUUGCAAUCUGGGAACAUGGUAUUAAUCAUAUGAAAUCCACCAAGACAAAUUUAAUUAGUUUCCUUAAAGGCCACACAGCAGUUCCUCACCUGGAUAUAUGAGACAGUUUCUAUGGCAGUAGAGUCAACACUACUAGACUUUUGUAUGAUGUGAAGGAAUACGAAAAGAUCAAGUGCAUUGAUUUUAUAUCUCCAUAUCCAUGAACAAAUAGGUAUUGUAAAUAUCUGGUUGGUCAUUUCAAAUACAUCACAACAAAUUUUUCAAAUGUACCUAAUUAUUCUGGUUUCAUUAAGUGCAAAAUUGUAGCCCUGAAUAAAUUAUAUCAUCCAGUUUUUCCUCCGAGAAGUAACGGUAAAUUAAGUUUUCUUCUCUUUAACAUGUGUGGUAAUUUAAGAACAUUUCCCCAUGUAAUCACUCAG